UUUCCGUAGGUGAACCUGCGGAAGGAUCAUUAGUGAAUCUAUCAUUAAUAUCUACACACACCUGUGAACUUGUACGGUUGGCUGAAUAGCGAAAGCUGUUGAUGCCGACUGUUUAUUUUACAAACAUCAGUGUAAUGAACGUCAUUUUAUCAUAACAUAAUAAAACUUUCAACAACGGAUCUCUUGGCUCUCGCAUCGAUGAAGAACGCAGC
This 212-nucleotide unclassified non-coding RNA is filed under the name uncultured fungus. RNAcentral's name for it is "sequence contains ITS1, 5.8S rRNA gene". The stretch from base 164 to 212 matches the Rfam family "5.8S ribosomal RNA", at positions 1 to 49 of the family's 154-position model. The record is from RNAcentral. Lineage: Eukaryota; Fungi.